CAGCUGGACGCACAUCAAGUCCUCUGCCUGGUAAUCUGUUAAGGUGGCCAGUCUGGUGGAUUGGUCAUUAUGUUUGGCUCUCACACAGAAGUUAAGUCAAACAGAGACAUAUACAAGGAUGUGCUGAUGCUGUGGUGAUGAUGAGGACUUCGAUGCUGGAAACCAAAGGAGACUGCUAAGAGACAUCUAAGGGACAGGAUCGCAGUGCCACCAGAGAACACUUUGAAACAUUUGUUGGGUUCUCUGGGAAAACAACACAAUGCUGCAAAGAGAAUUUAAUUAAACUUAGGAAAGGGGCUGAGAGCAAAACAAAAAUA
This is a long non-coding RNA of Passer domesticus (house sparrow), 317 nucleotides long. RefSeq lists it as uncharacterized. The record is from RefSeq and is a predicted model, not a curated record. NCBI's taxonomy places the organism in Eukaryota, Metazoa, Chordata, Aves, Passeriformes, Passeridae. The transcript has 2 exons.